GAAUGCACAAAACCAUAACACUCACAACACAGUAACGUAUACCCCCAAAAUGACCAGCCAAUAAGUCCAUGAACAACACGCAAUUGCUAUUUUAUAUUUUGCAAAUUUAUCGGCAUGAAUAAAUCUAGUGGCAGCAUCAGCAUAUCUAACUGAAGCUCCAUGGAAACCAAGCACGCAACCUGAUAAACAAAAUCUUCUUCUAGUUGGCGGCUUGCAUCACACACGAAAUACAGCAGCAG
This 239-nucleotide long non-coding RNA is filed under the name Hordeum vulgare. RNAcentral's name for it is "long non-coding RNA (HVUL_LNC000327)". Lineage: Eukaryota; Viridiplantae; Streptophyta; Magnoliopsida; Poales; Poaceae. The record is from RNAcentral.